GCUGGGUGUGGUGACUCACGCCUGUAAUCCCAGCACUUGGGAGGCAGAGGCAGGUGGAUCACUAGAGGCCAGGAGUUCAAGACCAGCCUGGCCAACAUAGUGAAACCCUGUCCCUA
Molecule: non-coding RNA, 116 nt
Filed under: Gorilla gorilla gorilla (western lowland gorilla)
Lineage: Eukaryota; Metazoa; Chordata; Mammalia; Primates; Hominidae
Source: Rfam by way of RNAcentral